This 253-nucleotide ribosomal RNA is filed under the name uncultured bacterium. Its description in RNAcentral is "partial 16S ribosomal RNA". It matches the Rfam family "Bacterial small subunit ribosomal RNA", at positions 524 to 776 of the family's 1533-position model. The record is from RNAcentral.
UACGAAGGGGGCUAGCGUUGCUCGGAAUUACUGGGCGUAAAGGGCGCGUAGGCGGGUUAUCAAGUUGGGGGUGAAAGCCCGGGGCUCAACCUCGGAAUUGCCUUCAAAACUGAUAACCUGGAGUAUGGAAGAGGUAAGUGGAACUCCGAGUGUAGAGGUGAAAUUCGUAGAUAUUCGGAAGAACACCAGUGGCGAAGGCGACUUACUGGUCCAUUACUGACGCUGAGGCUCGAAAGCGUGGGGAGCAAACAGG